Molecule: ribosomal RNA, 460 nt
Filed under: uncultured bacterium
Lineage: Bacteria
Description: partial 16S ribosomal RNA
Rfam family: Bacterial small subunit ribosomal RNA
Source: RNAcentral
CCUACGGGAGGCAGCAGUGAGGAAUAUUGGUCAAUGGGCGCGAGUCUGAACCAGCAACGUAGCGUGAAGGAUGAAUGCCCUACGGGUUGUAAACUCCUUUUAUAAAGGAAUAAAGUGAGGCAAGUGUGCCUUUUUGUACGUACUUUAUGAAUAAGGAUCGGCUAACUCCGUGCCAGCAGCCGCGGUAAUACGGAGGAUCCGAGCGUUAUCCGGAUUUAUUGGGUUUAAAGGGAGCGUAGAUGGGUUGUUAAGUCAGUUGUGAAAGUUUGCGGCUCAACCGUAAAAUUGCAAUUGAUACUGGCAGCCUUGAGUACAGUUGAGGUAGGCGGAAUUCGUGGUGUAGCGGUGAAAUGCGUAGAUAUCACGAAGAACUCCGAUUGCGAAGGCAGCCUACUAAACUGUCACUGACAUUGAUGCUCGAAAGUGUGGGUAUCAAACAGGAUUAGAUACCCGGGUAGUC